CAUAAUUAAAAAUGCUAGUAAUAUAUUAUCCUACUAAUAUCAUAUGAUAUAUUCAUUUAAUCAUUAUCUUAUAUUGUAUUAUUAUGUAGAAUUUUUUUUAGUGUACUGUAGAUACAUUGCCUGCUGAUCUGAUAUUAUAAUUAUAAUUUUGAAUAUAAUUUUUCUGUCCUCUAAGGCGAAUGAGUUUUGUGUGAGGAGCAGACUAAAAUUUAACUUCUUAUUCAUAGAAAAAUUUCCCUUUAAUUGCAGCUUUUAAGAAUAUUCUGUGUGUUUCAGAUUCUCAACCCAAACAUAUCAUUAGGUGAUUUGGUUUUUUCAGUGUUUGAACAGCUAAAAAAUACCUCAAAUAUUUCAGCCCAGAACCCACUGACGGUCUCCUGUGGUGUUUUAUCCAGACAGGCUCUUUGAUCCUCAUGUGGUGGUUUGACGUUUUUGUAGCUUUUCGUCUUUAUUUUCACAUUUCAGCAUGAGACCGUCCUAUCAAUCACAGCAACAAUGGCCGUCUCUCUCAAAUGCUCUUGAAUGACAAAUUACAGCUGGAAUGAGACAGUGGUCAGAGAGAUAUUUCCCAGUGCUGUCAGAAGAUCCCUGCACAAGAGACAGAGAGAGAGAAAACGAUCUCAUAGCUGACAAAACUACUGAACUAUUGAAGAGAGAGUUGUGUUUUGUUGAAACAAGAAGAAACACAUUGCUUGUUUUUAAUAGCUAGUACUCCCAAAAGGGUUUUGGACAUGUGCUGGAUAGCAAAAUAUAUUUAAUGAUAGUGUAAUAUAUAUUUAUGUUUUUGCAAAUCAAACUACCCUGAUAAAAAAAUUAAAAAAAUAAACGACUUCUGUAAUCGAAAUUUUGCUAUGUCAGUAAAUGCACAUGUAUCAUAGUCCAGCAAAAUAUCCAGCACUGUCAGGACUAAAGAGAGAUGUGUGUGUGUGUGUGUGUGUGUGUGUGUGUGUGUGUGUGUGUGUGUUCAGGGAGGUGGGCCAUGAGGGAUCAUGCUGUCAAAAUACUAUAUCCUCAUCUAAACAGCAGCUCCAUUUCUCUGGGUGUCCUAGUCCCUGCAGUCAUCCAACUACAGCUAAUUCACAUCACCGACAGCCCUCGCUCACAGUCCUCCCUGCCUCUCAGACUCUGCUUUUCUUCUGCUGCUCUCUGACUCAUGCCCCCGUCCCUUAGUCCUUAAUCCAUUCCAUCAUCUUCAU
This is a long non-coding RNA of Cyprinus carpio carpio, 1196 nucleotides long. The record is from Ensembl. Lineage: Eukaryota; Metazoa; Chordata; Actinopteri; Cypriniformes; Cyprinidae.